CAGACCCUGCCUACUUCCCUUUGCUCAGCCAAGCCCCAACCCAGCUCCAUGCUCUUGCUCCCCCUUCCCCCUGUCUCCCCUGCUCAAAAACCCUCCAUGGUUCCCCAGUACCAGACUCGGGAGUUGUUGCCUGUCACCACCCUGCAGGGGAUUCUAAAGCCCCUCCUGGGGCUUUUCCCAACACUCUGGGUGGGGUCUUUCUCUUCCUUAGCUGCACUCCAGAAUUCCCAUCUGCCUUCCUUCAGCAGCAUGGCGUGUUUUUUAAAUUUUUUGCAGCAAGAUCAGAGCGGCACACCCAUCCGCACUGUCCAUCCUGAAGAAGCCCCCCAGGCUAGAGAGAGUCUGAAACCCUGACUCACUCCUUCCUGAUGAUGCACACGAUCCAUCACACAUGGGGCCUGCACGAGGCAGCGGCACAGUCGGCUGCACGCCGCCAGCAUAUGACAUCACACCUGGUCCCGUCUCACUAGGCCACAUGACACAUAAAAUUCCUGUUCAUGUUUAGUGAGAAUCUCUCUCACCCCUCUCACCAGGCGUUUGGGGCUGCAAUACACACAAUGGCUAAGAGGAGGGGAAAAAAAUAAAUGGUCAACAGUCGUGGAGAGAUGCCCUGCCUCACCAGAGAUCACAGGAGGAUCUAGACUAAAACAAACAGGAGACGACACACCACACACCCCAACUGGAGGAGCCAGAGGCCAUCAGAAACUUCUACUACAGACACUAGCACGUGAACCCAAAUCUUGCUAGCACUAGCAAGAUUUAUUUCAGAAAGUGCCAGGAAUCUCAACUGUCUUCAAUAAAGAAGACAAAGUGACUCAUGUUGCUGGGAGUUGAGAUGCAGUUCAGCUUCAGAUGGCGACACUCGUGCUUGAAGCCUCAGCCAGACACAGAGCAGAUCGCCUAGCAUGUUGACAGGCAGGGUGUGGGAGAAACCUCGGGACUUUGGAGCUGUGCUCAGUGUAGCAUGAAAGCCCAUCCUGACUGAUGUCAUUGUGGGUUGGCCACAUGUGUCCCCAAAGGACAAAUACAUAGGCACAGGAUCUCUUGAAAGAGACAUGAGAAACCCCAGCAGGGGAACCUGGCAGGCUGGCCUACUUUUCCCCCUAAACCCUCUUGUGUAGUGUCUUAUUUUCUAGAAAACCAUAUGUAUUAACAAGUCAAAUGACAAUUAUAUUUUUAAAGAGUUUAUU
This is a non-coding RNA of Manis javanica (Malayan pangolin), 1190 nucleotides long. Lineage: Eukaryota; Metazoa; Chordata; Mammalia; Pholidota; Manidae. The record is from RefSeq and is a predicted model, not a curated record.